RNAcentral lists this ribosomal RNA (2914 nucleotides) under Gammaproteobacteria bacterium. RNAcentral's name for it is "23S ribosomal RNA". It matches the Rfam family "Bacterial large subunit ribosomal RNA". Lineage: Bacteria; Pseudomonadati; Pseudomonadota; Gammaproteobacteria. The record is from RNAcentral.
GUUAGCGGGUCAAGUGAAUAAGCGCAUCCGGUGAAUGCCUUGGCGACCACAGGCGAUGAAAGACGUGACAGCCUGCGAAAAGCGGCGGGGAGCUGGCAAAUAAGCGAUAAUCCGCCGAUCUCUGAAUGGGGCAACCCACCCGCGAGGGUAUUCCGAACUGAAUCCAUAGGUUCGGAAAGCGAACCCGGGGAACUGAAACAUCUCAGUACCCGGAGGAACAGAAAUCAACCGAGAUUCCGUCAGUAGCGGCGAGCGAACGCGGACCAGCCAUCCGUUGAUAACCGCAUUGUUAGGAGAACGACCUGGAAAGGUCGGUCACAGAGGGUGACAGCCCCGUAUCCAAAAACGACGCGGCGAGACUAAAACGGAAACCAGUAGGGCGGGGCACGAGGAACCCUGUCUGAACAUGGGGGGACCUUCCUCCAAGGCUAAAUACUCGUGGUCGACCGAUAGUGAACCAGUACCGUGAGGGAAAGGCGAAAAGAACCCCGGUGAGGGGAGUGAAACAGACCCUGAAACCGGAUGCGCACAAGCAGUCGGAGCCCCUUAACGGGGUGACGGCGUACCUUUUGUAUAAUGGGUCAGCGACUGACUUUUCGUGGCGAGCUUAACCGACUAGGGGAAGCGCAGGGAAACCGAGUCUGAACAGGGCGCAUCAGUCGCGAGGAGUCGACCCGAAACCGGGCGAUCUAUCCAUGACCAGGUUGAAGGUGCGGUAACGCGCACUGGAGGACCGAACCCACGUCUGUUGAAAAAGCCGGGGAUGAGUUGUGGAUUGGAGUGAAAGGCUAAUCAAGCCCGGAGAUCGCUGGUUCUCCCCGAAAGCUAUUGAGGUAGCGCCUCGUGUCUCGCUCCCGGGGGUAGAGCACUGUUUCGGCUAGGGGGCCAUCCCGGCUUACCAACCCGAGGCAAACUCCGAAUACCGGGAAGCGCAAUCACGGGAGACACACGGCGGGUGCGAACGUCCGUCGUGGAAAGGGAAACAACCCAGACCGCCAGCUAAGGUCCCCAAAUCACGGCUCAGUGGGAAACGAAGUGGGAAGGCCCAGACAGCCAGGAGGUUGGCUUAGAAGCAGCCAUCCUUGAAAGAAAGCGUAAUAGCUCACUGGUCAAGUCGGCCUGCGCGGAAGAUUUACCGGGGCUCAAGCCGUGUACCGAAGCUGCGGCUGCGCGUAAGCGCAGGGUAGGGGAGCGUUCCGUAAACCGAUGAAGGUUGCUUGAGAAGGCGGCUGGAGGUAUCGGAAGUGCGAAUGCUGACAUGAGUAACGAUUAUGCGGGUGAAAAUCCCGCACGCCGCAAGCCCAAGGGUUCCUCGCGCCAUGUCAAUCAGCGCAGGGUGAGUCGGCCCCUAAGGCGAGGCCGAAAGGCGUAGUCGAUGGGAAACCGGUGAAUAGUCCGGUACUGCGCGCCACUGCGAAGGGGGGACGGAGAAGGCUAUGUCAGCCGGCGAUUGGUAGUGCCGGUUUAACGAGGUAGGGAGGCGAUCCUGGCAAAUCCGGAUGGCCCAUCCCGAGAUCGGACGACGAGAUCCUUGGAUCGAAGUGACAAAUGCCCGGCUCCCAGGAAAAGCCUCUAAGCGACAGGUGGUGUGCAACCGUACCCGAAACCGACACAGGUGGGCGAGGAGAGUAUCCUCAGGCGCUGGAGAGAACCCGGGUGAAGGAACUCGGCAAAAUAGCACCGUAACUUCGGGAGAAGGUGCGCCUGUAGUAGGUGAAGCCCCUUGCGGGUCGAGCCGAGGCGGGCCGCAGUGACCAGGUGGCUGCGACUGUUUACUAAAAACACAGCACUCUGCCAACACGCAAGUGGACGUAUAGGGUGUGACGCCUGCCCGGUGCCGGAAGGUUAAGUGAUGGGGUUAGCCGCAAGGCGACGCUCUUGAUCGAAGCCCCGGUAAACGGCGGCCGUAACUAUAACGGUCCUAAGGUAGCGAAAUUCCUUGUCGGGUAAGUUCCGACCUGCACGAAUGGCGUAACGAUAGCCACACUGUCUCCACCCGGGACUCCGUGAAAUUGAACUCGCUGUGAAGAUGCAGCGUACCCGCGGCAAGACGGAAAGACCCCGUGAACCUUCACUACAGCUUUGCACUGGAUUUUGAGCCUUCUUGUGUAGGAUAGGUGGGAGGCAUUGAAGCGGGAACGCCAGUUCUCGUGGAGCCAACCUUGAAAUACCACCCUGGAAUGCUCGGGAUUCUAACCUCGGAUCUGAAACGGGUUCAGGGACCGUGCAUGGUGGGUAGUUUGACUGGGGCGGUCUCCUCCCAAAGCGUAACGGAGGAGUGCGACGGUACCCUCAGCGCGGUCGGAAAUCGCGCGGUGAGUGCAAAGGCACAAGGGUGCUUGACUGCGAGACGGACAGGUCGAGCAGGGGCGAAAGCCGGUCUUAGUGAUCCGGUGGUUCCGAAAGGAAGGGCCAUCGCUCAACGGAUAAAAGGUACUCCGGGGAUAACAGGCUGAUACUGCCCAAGAGUCCAUAUCGACGGCAGUGUUUGGCACCUCGAUGUCGGCUCAUCACAUCCUGGGGCUGUAGUCGGUCCCAAGGGUAUGGCUGUUCGCCAUUUAAAGUGGUACGCGAGCUGGGUUUAGAACGUCGUGAGACAGUUCGGUCCCUAUCUGCCGUGGGCGUUGGAGAAUUGCGGGGCGCUGUUCCUAGUACGAGAGGACCGGAAUGGACGGACCGCUGGUGUACCGGUUGUGUCGCCAGACGCACCGCCGGGUAGCUACGUCCGGACGGGAUAACCGCUGAAAGCAUCUAAGCGGGAAGCCUCCCCCAAGAUCAGUUCUCCCGCGUCCUUGAGACGCCUGAAGGUCCGUGGCAGACCACCACGUGGAUAGGCGAGGCGGUGGACGCGCCGUAAGGCGUGAAGCUGACCCGUACUAAUCGACCGUGCGGCUUGAUCCGCUAACACCCAAGC